Saimiri boliviensis boliviensis (Bolivian squirrel monkey) is the source of this 1299-nucleotide non-coding RNA. Lineage: Eukaryota; Metazoa; Chordata; Mammalia; Primates; Cebidae. The record is from RefSeq and is a predicted model, not a curated record.
GGCGCCGUCCUGCAGUGCCCGCCAGCUGGGCUAGGAGAGACCCGCGCCCCAGGCAUGCCCGAGCCCAGCUAGAGGGCGGGAGGGUGGCGGGCACUCUGGCCCCAACCCUGGCACCCGAAGCAUCCCCCGCGUUUCCUGCUCCUCACUCAGCCUUCAGACCCCAGCCCAGCGCCCCCGGUACAAUGGGGAGCCAGGGUGCCUGGGUCAGCCGCAAGGGCCAGCGAACCAGGCGGAGGACAGGCAGGGCGCAGGGGACCCCAUCUACCAGUCCUCCCGCCCCAGGUCUCUCCCUGCUGCGGAGGAGGCAGAACCGGACCGGCAUCCCCCGCAGCCCGGAAUCCCAGGAGUGGUCGCUGAACCCUCACCCUGCGGAGCUCCUGGGCACCCAGAGAUGAAAACAUUGAGAUUCAGAGCGGUGUAAUGAACUGAGGUCAUGCUGCUGCCUCCAGAUGAGCAAAAAGGAAAAACUCUGGCAUUUCCCACUUCCUCAGCAUCCUCCACCUCCUCAGCUGCUCACACCAGCGCUGGGAUGCAGGUAGGUUGCCCCAGUUGAGGAGGGAGGAAACUGAGGCCCAGGGAUGGGGAGGGACUUGCCCAGGGUCAUACAGCAAAGCCACGGCUGAGCCUGGACUCAGGCCCAGGGCUCAGCACAGCUGGGUCAGUGCUCAGGGGCUUUCUUUAGCCCUGCCGGCCCCACCUGGUUGUUGCCUUGGCCUCCUGAGAAACGUGGUCAGCAAUCAAGGCCGCUCUGCCCUUCCGCUGCAUGCGGUGGGGAUGGAAAUUGCAUCAGUGGCCAGAGGGAGGACCCUUAACUGCCUUCUUUCUCAGCACCACUAGUUUUGCCUCCUAGGCACCACUCGUUUGGAGGAGAUAGUCAGGGGCAGGAGGGAAACUGAGGCCCAGACUCCAGGGACUGGGAUCGGGCCCGCUCAAUAGCCCGUGUGACCUCAGGCAAGUCUCCGGGUCUCAGCAUUGCCCUCUGUGAAAUUCGCUCACAAUCUCUGCCCUUGCCACCAGCUGUCUUCCACCCUGGUGGGGUCAGAUCAAAGGAAUCAGUGGACAGAAUUUGCUGAACCUGGGAGGGCCAGACACGGGAAAACAGAGCAGUGGGCGAGUGUGGCCCUCACCCUUGAGCCUGAUCCUAGUCACUCUGGGCUCUUUCCCCACCCAAGGGUUGGGUCCUAGGCGCACUGCUGUUGGGAAUGUGGGACAGCUUCCCAUGACAUCCCCAUCCCCUGCCACCCCAGUAACUCCCCACCUGUGAGCCCAGGCCCGGGGACAGGGGGAUGGACUGUUCGA